RNAcentral lists this ribosomal RNA (2393 nucleotides) under Pseudomonas veronii. RNAcentral's name for it is "bacterial LSU rRNA". It matches the Rfam family "Bacterial large subunit ribosomal RNA", at positions 445 to 2830 of the family's 2925-position model. The record is from RNAcentral. Lineage: Bacteria; Pseudomonadati; Pseudomonadota; Gammaproteobacteria; Pseudomonadales; Pseudomonadaceae.
UGGGGGGACCAUCCUCCAAGGCUAAAUACUACUGACUGACCGAUAGUGAACUAGUACCGUGAGGGAAAGGCGAAAAGAACCCCGGAGAGGGGAGUGAAAUAGAUCCUGAAACCGUAUGCGUACAAGCAGUGGGAGCCUACUUUGUUAGGUGACUGCGUACCUUUUGUAUAAUGGGUCAGCGACUUAUUUUCAGUGGCGAGCUUAACCGAAUAGGGGAGGCGUAGCGAAAGCGAGUCUUAAUAGGGCGUCUAGUCGCUGGGAAUAGACCCGAAACCGGGCGAUCUAUCCAUGGGCAGGUUGAAGGUUGGGUAACACUAACUGGAGGACCGAACCGACUACCGUUGAAAAGUUAGCGGAUGACCUGUGGAUCGGAGUGAAAGGCUAAUCAAGCUCGGAGAUAGCUGGUUCUCCUCGAAAGCUAUUUAGGUAGCGCCUCAUGUAUCACUGUAGGGGGUAGAGCACUGUUUCGGCUAGGGGGUCAUCCCGACUUACCAAACCGAUGCAAACUCCGAAUACCUACAAGUGCCGAGCAUGGGAGACACACGGCGGGUGCUAACGUCCGUCGUGAAAAGGGAAACAACCCAGACCGUCAGCUAAGGUCCCAAAGUUAUGGUUAAGUGGGAAACGAUGUGGGAAGGCUUAGACAGCUAGGAGGUUGGCUUAGAAGCAGCCACCCUUUAAAGAAAGCGUAAUAGCUCACUAGUCGAGUCGGCCUGCGCGGAAGAUGUAACGGGGCUCAAACCAUACACCGAAGCUACGGGUAUCACGUAAGUGAUGCGGUAGAGGAGCGUUCUGUAAGCCUGUGAAGGUGAGUUGAGAAGCUUGCUGGAGGUAUCAGAAGUGCGAAUGCUGACAUGAGUAACGAUAAUGGGUGUGAAAAACACCCACGCCGAAAGACCAAGGUUUCCUGCGCAACGUUAAUCGACGCAGGGUUAGUCGGUCCCUAAGGCGAGGCUGAAAAGCGUAGUCGAUGGAAAACAGGUUAAUAUUCCUGUACUUCUGGUUAUUGCGAUGGAGGGACGGAGAAGGCUAGGCCAGCUUGGCGUUGGUUGUCCAAGUUUAAGGUGGUAGGCUGGAAUCUUAGGUAAAUCCGGGAUUCUAAGGCCGAGAGCUGAUGACGAGUCAUCUUUUAGAUGACGAAGUGGUUGAUGCCAUGCUUCCAAGAAAAGCUUCUAAGCUUCAGGUAACCAGGAACCGUACCCCAAACCGACACAGGUGGUUGGGUAGAGAAUACCAAGGCGCUUGAGAGAACUCGGGUGAAGGAACUAGGCAAAAUGGCACCGUAACUUCGGGAGAAGGUGCGCCGGUGAGGGUGAAGGACUUGCUCCGUAAGCUCAUGCCGGUCGAAGAUACCAGGCCGCUGCGACUGUUUAUUAAAAACACAGCACUCUGCAAACACGAAAGUGGACGUAUAGGGUGUGACGCCUGCCCGGUGCCGGAAGGUUAAUUGAUGGGGUUAGCUAACGCGAAGCUCUUGAUCGAAGCCCCGGUAAACGGCGGCCGUAACUAUAACGGUCCUAAGGUAGCGAAAUUCCUUGUCGGGUAAGUUCCGACCUGCACGAAUGGCGUAACGAUGGCGGCGCUGUCUCCACCCGAGACUCAGUGAAAUUGAAAUCGCUGUGAAGAUGCAGUGUAUCCGCGGCUAGACGGAAAGACCCCGUGAACCUUUACUAUAGCUUUGCACUGGACUUUGAAUUUGCUUGUGUAGGAUAGGUGGGAGGCUUUGAAGCGUGGACGCCAGUUCGCGUGGAGCCAACCUUGAAAUACCACCCUGGCAACUUUGAGGUUCUAACUCAGGUCCGUUAUCCGGAUCGAGGACAGUGUAUGGUGGGUAGUUUGACUGGGGCGGUCUCCUCCUAAAGAGUAACGGAGGAGUACGAAGGUGCGCUCAGACCGGUCGGAAAUCGGUCGUAGAGUAUAAAGGCAAAAGCGCGCUUGACUGCGAGACAGACACGUCGAGCAGGUACGAAAGUAGGUCUUAGUGAUCCGGUGGUUCUGUAUGGAAGGGCCAUCGCUCAACGGAUAAAAGGUACUCCGGGGAUAACAGGCUGAUACCGCCCAAGAGUUCAUAUCGACGGCGGUGUUUGGCACCUCGAUGUCGGCUCAUCACAUCCUGGGGCUGAAGCCGGUCCCAAGGGUAUGGCUGUUCGCCAUUUAAAGUGGUACGCGAGCUGGGUUUAGAACGUCGUGAGACAGUUCGGUCCCUAUCUGCCGUGGACGUUUGAGAUUUGAGAGGGGCUGCUCCUAGUACGAGAGGACCGGAGUGGACGAACCUCUGGUGUUCCGGUUGUCACGCCAGUGGCAUUGCCGGGUAGCUAUGUUCGGAAUAGAUAACCGCUGAAAGCAUCUAAGCGGGAAACUAGCCUCAAGAUGAGAUCUCACUGGGACCUUGA